Caenorhabditis elegans is the source of this 21-nucleotide non-coding RNA. Lineage: Eukaryota; Metazoa; Nematoda; Chromadorea; Rhabditida; Rhabditidae. The record is from Ensembl.
UAUAUGGGAAAUGGGAAAUAA